RNAcentral lists this small RNA (399 nucleotides) under Pongo abelii (Sumatran orangutan). Its description in RNAcentral is "retained intron". The record is from RNAcentral. Lineage: Eukaryota; Metazoa; Chordata; Mammalia; Primates; Hominidae.
GUGGUCAAGGUGAAGCCCCACGACAAGGAUGCCAAAAUGAAAUACCAGGAGUGCAACAAGAUCGUGAAGCAGAAGGCCUUUGAGCGGGCCAUCGCGGGUGACGAGCACAAGCGCUCCGUGGUGGACUCGCUGGACAUCGAGAGCAUGACCAUUGAGGAUGAGUACAGCGGACCCAAGCUUGAGGACGGCAAAGUGACAAUCACUUUCAUGAAGGAGCUCAUGCAGUGGUACAAGGACCAGAAGAAACUGCACCGGAAAUGCGCCUACCAGGUAAUGCACCUGUCAGGUACCGGGCAUCCGGGAACCCUGGGAUGGCAUCACAGCACUGCCAGCCACAGGCACUGAGCAAAACAACAGGAGAAGGGCGGCCAUGACAGCCAGCACCGAGCAGGAGUCGUG